RNAcentral lists this ribosomal RNA (492 nucleotides) under uncultured bacterium. RNAcentral's name for it is "partial 16S ribosomal RNA". It matches the Rfam family "Bacterial small subunit ribosomal RNA", at positions 29 to 507 of the family's 1533-position model. The record is from RNAcentral.
AGUGAACGCUGGCGGUAGGCCUAACACAUGCAAGUCGAACGGCAGCACAGUAAGAGCUUGCUCUUACGGGUGGCGAGAGGCGGACGGGUGAGGAAUACAUCGGAAUCUACUUUUUCGUGGGGGAUAACGUAGGGAAACUUACGCUAAUACCGCAUACGACCUACGGGUGAAAGCAGGGGAUCUUCGGACCUUGCGCGAUUGAAUGAGCCGAUGUCGGAUUAGCUAGUUGGCGGGGUAAAGGCCCACCAAGGCGACGAUCCGUAGCUGGACUGAGAGGAUGAUCAGCCACACUGGAACUGAGACACGGUCCAGACUCCUACGGGAGGCAGCAGUGGGGAAUAUUGGACAAUGGGCGCAAGCCUGAUCCAGCCAUACCGCGUGGGUGAAGAAGGCCUUCGGGUUGUAAAGCCCUUUUGUUGGGAAAGAAAAGCAGCAGGUUAAUACCCCGCUGUUCUGACGGUACCCAAAGAAUAAGCACCGGCUAACUUCGUG